CCUACGGGUGGCAGCAGUGAGGAAUAUUGGUCAAUGGACGCAAGGCUGAACCAGCCAAGUCGCGUGAAGGAAGACGGAUCUAUGUUUUGUAAACUUCUUUUAUAGGGGAAUAAAGGUAUCCACGUGUGGCUAUUUGCAUGUACUCUAUGAAUAAGCAUCGGCUAACUCCGUGCCAGCAGCCGCGGUAAUACGGAGGAUGCGAGCGUUAUCCGGAUUUAUUGGAUUUAAAGGGUGCGUAGGUUGUUUUUUAAGUCAGCGGUGAAAGUUUGUGGCUCAACCAUAAAAUUGCCGUUGAGACUGGCAGGCUUGAGUGUAGUUGAGGUAGGCGGAAUGCGUGGUGUAGCGGUGAAAUGCUUAGAUAUCACGCAGAACUCCGAUUGCGAAGGCAGCUUACUAAGCCAUGACUGACACUGAAGCACGAAAGCGUGGGGAUCAAACAGGAUUAGAUACCCCUGUAGUC
Molecule: ribosomal RNA, 460 nt
Filed under: uncultured bacterium
Lineage: Bacteria
Description: partial 16S ribosomal RNA
Rfam family: Bacterial small subunit ribosomal RNA
Source: RNAcentral